AGAGUUUGAUCCUGGCUCAGAACGAACGCUGGCGGCGUGCUUAAUACAUGCAAGUCGAACGAGAAAGCACCUUCGGGUGUGAGUACAGUGGCAGACGGGUGAGUAAUACUUAGGUAAUCUACCUCCGAGAUGGGGACAACCUUCCGAAAGGAGGGCUAAUACCGAAUAAGACCACAGUUACUUCGGUGACAGGGGUUAAAGGUGGCCUCUACUUGUAAGCUAUCACUUGGAGAUGAGCCUAAGCACCAUUAGCUUGUUGGUGGGGUAACGGCCUACCAAAGCUACGAUGGUUAGCUGAUCUGAGAGGUUGAUCAGCCACACUGGAACUGAGACACGGUCCAGACUCCUACGGGAGGCAGCAGUAGGGAAUUUUGCGCAAUGGGGGAAACCCUGACGCAGCGACGCCGCGUGGGUGAUGAAGGAUUUCGGUUCGUAAAGCCCUGUCAGGAGGGAAGAAAAACGGUAUGGCUAAUAUCCAUACCGAUUGACGGUACCUCCAGAGGAAGCACCGGCUAACUACGUGCCAGCAGCCGCGGUAAUACGUAGGGUGCAAGCGUUGUUCGGAAUUAUUGGGCGUAAAGAGCGUGUAGGUGGUCAGGAAAGUUGGAUGUGAAAGCCCUAGGCUCAACCUAGGAAGUGCAUCCAAAACUGCUUGGCUAGAGGGCGAGAGAGGGAGGUGGAAUUCCUAGUGUAGAGGUGAAAUUCGUAGAUAUUAGGAGGAAUACCGGUGGCGAAGGCGGCCUCCUGGAUCGAUCCUGACACUGAGACGCGAAAGCGUGGGGAGCAAACAGGAUUAGAUACCCUGGUAGUCCACGCCGUAAACGAUGAGUACUAGAUGUUGCGGGAAUUGACCCCUGCAGUGUCGCAGCUAACGCAUUAAGUACUCCGCCUGGGAAGUACGGUCGCAAGGCUAAAACUCAAAGGAAUUGACGGGGGCCCGCACAAGCGGUGGAGCAUGUGGUUUAAUUCGAUGCUACGCGAAGAACCUUACCUGGGUUAGACUACUUCGGACAUCCCUAGAGAUAGGGCUUUCACUUCGGUGACCGAAGGUUCAGGUGCUGCAUGGCUGUCGUCAGCUCGUAUCGUGAGAUGUCGGGUUAAGUCCCUUAACGAGCGCAACCCUUAUCCCUAGUUGCCAUCAUUCAGUUGGGCACUCUAUGGAGACUGCCGGUGUUAAACCGGAGGAAGGCGGGGAUGACGUCAAGUCCUCAUGGCCCCUAUGUCCAGGGCAACACACGUGCUACAAUGGCCGGUACAGAGGGUCGCCAACCCGUGAGGGGGAGCUAAUCUCAUAAAGCCGGUCUCAGUUCGGAUUGGAGUCUGCAACUCGACUCCAUGAAGUUGGAAUCGCUAGUAAUCGCGGAUCAGAACGCCGCGGUGAAUACGUUCCCGGGCCUUGUACACACCGCCCGUCACACCACGAAAGUCAAUUGUACCAGAAGUCGCUGGCUUAACCGUAAGGAGAGAGGUGCCCAAGGUGCGGUUGAUGAUUGGGGUGAAGUCGUAACAAGGUA
Molecule: ribosomal RNA, 1514 nt
Filed under: metagenome
Description: bacterial SSU rRNA
Rfam family: Bacterial small subunit ribosomal RNA
Source: RNAcentral